This is a long non-coding RNA of Bactrocera neohumeralis, 716 nucleotides long. RefSeq lists it as uncharacterized. The transcript is spliced from 3 exons. Lineage: Eukaryota; Metazoa; Arthropoda; Insecta; Diptera; Tephritidae. The record is from RefSeq and is a predicted model, not a curated record.
UAUUCAUUUUCGUGCACUUGGAUAAAAUAAUUUCCUCAAAUAUGUCAAAAGUAACAACGGCAGAGCAAUACGAAAAAUUGUGUGAUAUGAUGGCCACGAAAAGAGAUAUUGCGCAGGGCUUCCAAAAGCGACCGAAGGAAUAAGUACAGGAGUUUUGGGAGGAGGUUGCAAGGAAUUUAAAUGCACUUGGCCCACCAACAAAAGAUUCCAAUACAUGGAGGUCUGGAUUGACUAAAAAUGCUACAUGAAGCGAAAAUUAUCGCAUAACAAAAAAGAAAGGAUGAGCACCGGUGGAGGUCCUUGCCGUUUACAACGCAUAAGCCCACUUGAUGAAAAGGUGAUAGCUUUGACGGGUUUGGAAUCGGAUGAUAUCCCUUCAACCAGUAGAGCUAGCAGCCAAAAUAGAGAGGCGAGAACAGACAAGCAGAGCACUUCUUCAUUACUUAAGCAACAGAUACAAAUCAAAAAGAAUUUUAUGCAGAGACGAAAAAAUUCAAUGAAGCUGCCUUUGGUAAAAUGGAAGAGGUUACUUCAUAUUUACGGCACAUGAAUCGUUCUCUAGAAACUUUGGCGGAGACUGCAGUGAAGCAACUUGAAGAACAGAAGCGACACAAUAGAAUUAAGGAAGAGCUGGUGAAGGAAAAAGUAGAAAUAAAAAUGCAAAUGCUAAGAUUAGAUCCAAAUUAUAAGCCGGAUUCAAAGUAGUCAUUUUUUAA